Molecule: non-coding RNA, 92 nt
Filed under: human gut metagenome
Description: Glycine riboswitch
Rfam family: Glycine riboswitch aptamer
About the family: This family represents the bacterial glycine riboswitch. Glycine riboswitches usually consist of two metabolite-binding aptamers domains with similar structures in tandem. The aptamers cooperatively bind glycine to regulate the expression of downstream genes.
Source: RNAcentral
UACUCUGGAGAGUCUCCCGUCAGGGAGCGCCGAAGGUGUACGGGCCAAGCGUCGGGCGCGGCCCAAUCUCUCAGGCAAAAGGACAGAGCGCA